GGGGGCGCCCUGGUUUCGACGGAGAUGCUGAAGCCAAGGUCGCAGGUCGGGGAUGGCCGUUGGCCCCGUCAUCAAUUCGGCCAGGCACACAAAUGCCAACAAUGACUACGAAUACGCUAUGGCUGCCUAGUUUAACUAAGCAACUGUAGUUCCAGGGCAUGACCCUGGCGGCUCUCCGGGCCUACGCCCGAUAAACCGGAGUUGUCGACGACACCCCUCGGGCUAGCGUUGUACGGUUGCACGUCCCGUAUCGUGCGAAAUCUUAGACGAGCUGGUCACAUCGGCGCCUGUUCGUGGGCAACCUUUGUGGCGAGAAUAAAAACACGGACUAAGCCUGUAGAAGCCUUGCGCGGAUCGUUUUCGGACGGGGGUUCGAUUCCCCCCGCCUCCACCA
This 394-nucleotide transfer-messenger RNA is filed under the name Paucidesulfovibrio gracilis. Its description in RNAcentral is "Standard tmRNA". It matches the Rfam family "transfer-messenger RNA". Rfam says of the family: Bacterial tmRNA, also known as 10Sa RNA or SsrA, is named for its dual tRNA and mRNA-like properties. Its role is to liberate the mRNA from a stalled ribosome. To accomplish this part of the tmRNA is used as a reading frame that ends in a translation stop signal. RNAcentral also lists the same sequence under 1 other name. Lineage: Bacteria; Pseudomonadati; Thermodesulfobacteriota; Desulfovibrionia; Desulfovibrionales; Desulfovibrionaceae. The record is from RNAcentral.